GACGAACGCUGGCGGCGUGCCUAAUACAUGCAAGUAGAACGCUGAAGAGAGGAGCUUGCUCUUCUUGGAUGAGUUGCGAACGGGUGAGUAACGCGUAGGUAACCUGCCUUGUAGCGGGGGAUAACUAUUGGAAACGAUAGCUAAUACCGCAUAACAAUGGAUGACACAUGUCAUUUAUUUGAAAGGGGCAAUUGCUCCACUACAAGAUGGACCUGCGUUGUAUUAGCUAGUAGGUGAGGUAACGGCGCACCUAGGCGACCAUACAUAGCCGAACUGAGAGGGGGAUCGGCCACACUGGGACCGAGACACGGCCCAGACUCCUACGGGAGGCAGCAAGAGGGAAUCUUCGGCAAUGGGGGCAACCCUGACCGGGCAACGCCGCGUGAGUGAAGAAGGUUUUCGGAUCGUAAAGCUCUGUUGUAAGUCAAGAACGAGUGUGAGAGUGGAAAGUUCACACUGUGACGGUAGCUUACCAGAAAGGGACGGCUAACUACGUG
This 497-nucleotide ribosomal RNA is filed under the name uncultured bacterium. RNAcentral's name for it is "partial 16S ribosomal RNA". It matches the Rfam family "Bacterial small subunit ribosomal RNA", at positions 28 to 507 of the family's 1533-position model. The record is from RNAcentral.